Molecule: ribosomal RNA, 494 nt
Filed under: uncultured bacterium
Lineage: Bacteria
Description: partial 16S ribosomal RNA
Rfam family: Bacterial small subunit ribosomal RNA
Source: RNAcentral
GAUGAACGCUAGCGGGAGGCCUAACACAUGCAAGUCGAACGGGAUUGGUAGCAAUACCAUGAGAGUGGCGCACGGGUGAGUAACGCGUAUGCAACCUACCUUUAACAGAGGGAUAGCCCAUAGAAAUGUGGAUUAAUACCUCAUAGUCCUGGUGAGCUGCAUGGUUUACCAGGUAAAGCUUUGGCGGUUAAAGAUGGGCAUGCGUGACAUUAGCUAGUUGGUGAGGUAACGGCUCACCAAGGCAACGAUGUCUAGGGGUUCUGAGAGGAUGAUCCCCCACACUGGUACUGAGACACGGACCAGACUCCUACGGGAGGCAGCAGUGAGGAAUAUUGGUCAAUGGGCGCAAGCCUGAACCAGCCAUCCCGCGUGCAGGAUGACGGCCCUAUGGGUUGUAAACUGCUUUUAUACAGGAAGAAAAAUCUCUACGUGUAGGGACUUGCCGGUACUGUAUGAAUAAGCAUCGGCUAACUCCGUGCCAGCAGCCGCAGUAA